CCUGGCAGGCCGCAGUAACGGCCACGACUCUGCUCCACUUCCUGCGACAGAUUCCAUGUGGCUCCAUCACUCCCUGGCAGACCACAAUAAUGGCCAUGAUCCUGCUCCAUUUCCUGCGAUGGAUACCACGUGGUUCCUCCAUCCUCUGGCAAGUCGCGACAACGGACGCCGCUCCACUCCCCGCAACAGACUCCACGUGGCAU
RNAcentral lists this long non-coding RNA (203 nucleotides) under Elaeis guineensis (African oil palm). RNAcentral describes it as "long non-coding RNA (EGUI_LNC059114)". Lineage: Eukaryota; Viridiplantae; Streptophyta; Magnoliopsida; Arecales; Arecaceae. The record is from RNAcentral.